AGUCGUAACAAGGUAUCCGUAGGUGAACCUGCGGAUGGAUCAUUACCAAAUAUCCAUUUGAACACAUGUGAACUGUAUAUUUACCACGGUCAGUGGAGGAGGUGGUUAGUUGCGUGCUUCGGCAUUCUAAUUUCCACCUUCGCUGACCGUACCCAAUCCCAACAAAACUCUACAUAACUAAAGUAUAUCCAAGCAAACAAAAACAACUUUUAGCAACGGAUCUCUUGGCUCUC
This 233-nucleotide unclassified non-coding RNA is filed under the name fungal sp. RNAcentral describes it as "partial internal transcribed spacer region". The stretch from base 1 to 45 matches the Rfam family "Eukaryotic small subunit ribosomal RNA", at positions 1787 to 1831 of the family's 1831-position model. Lineage: Eukaryota; Fungi. The record is from RNAcentral.